CGACACCGAAUUCUCCUUUUCUCCUUUCACACUAUUAUCUCCCGGAUAUUUUCUUCUCUCUCACCCCUAUAGUUUGGUAUACAAUUUGUUGUCUCGCCAUAUGAAACAAAUGCACCAGAUUCUUUGAAUUAUUAUGCAGAUUUUUAUCAUCAUUUUUCGCUUCCUCGUUUCUCUAAUUUUGCACGCUGUUUUCUGAAGGCGUUCUAAUCCCAUUUGCAUAAAUGCAUGUAAGUUUUUAAAUUAACUUCCAUUGAUUCUCUUGCUUUUCUAGAUUUCCUUUAUUGUUUCUUUUCAUCCGAUGCAUUUGUUGCUCUUGACUCUUUUCCUGAUUUCAUUCAUUGUUUCGGGAAAGAACUGUAAAAAGUAGUAAAGUGUUUUUUUUAACAUGUGCAUUCAGCAAUAUGUCUUGCCACUUUUUCAUCUUAACCCUCAUAACAUUAAUCUAGUUUUGUUUCUCUUCGAAGUCAUGGGCAGAUUCAAAGCCAGAGAAUUAGUGGUGCUCAUGUUAUGGAAUACUUGGUGUCACUUUAGUAAUAGAAGACAUGAUUUGUGGUAGCCGGGUAUCGUUUCUUCUUUCUAUAUGGAACUUUACCUUAUUCAGUUUUGUUUCUUCUCUUUUUUUGUUGCACUCUUUGAAUUAUAUAAUUUUUGUUAUAUAAUUUGUUGUCUUUCAUCUAGGCUUCUAACUUUGUUUUAUGUUUGUAUUUUAUGCAAUAUUUCUAGAUAAUAUGAUGAGUAAUCAUGCAUUUUUCUCUCCCUCUAAAUUAUUUGUACAUAGAUAUGUUAGAAAACCAACACAAGGGUAGUGGAUCAAAAGUAUAAAAUUAAGAUUUCGAACCUAUGUCCUUGUUUUAUGGGGAUUAAAUGUGACCUUGUGUAGUGAAUUUUAUCCUCUCUUUUGUAUAUUUUUCCCCAUCUAAGAAACUCUCUACAACAUCUAACUAAACAGAACUUUUUAGACACCUCCUAACACCCCCUACACAAGCAUUGAUGCAAAUACACGAAUUUAGAAGUGCCUGGACAUUUUAGUACCUAAACUAUUACAUGAUUCUAAUGAAAAAUGAUAGUUAAUGCAUGUGAAAAUCUAAAAUUAGUAUCUAUCAUCCCCUUUCAAUUCUGAAAAAUUUAAACAAUAUGGUUGUCUUGAAAAUAAAAAAUAUUUAUUUAUUUAUCUUUUAGUGUUGCAAAGAUAUCAGUCACUUUUGUUUAUGGGGUUCAUAACUUGAAAUUCGUAUGCUUAGUCCUUUGGGACAAAUUCAGAUUCAUGGUCAUGAGAAUGACUAAGAAGAAGUCACAAAAGAGAGUUGUAAGAGAGUCUUGGUCUUGUUGGCUUGUUGCAUGACUUUCCAAAUUGUUUUAGAUAAGCUAAAUUCACAAAGUCCAGCAAUCAAAGAGUGAUUCACGGUUGGUUAGAAAUAACUCCUAAUUCAACCAGGGAAGGAACUAAUGUGAUUAAGUUGGAGCGAUAAGCUUAGCUCUCAAUUAUGGAAUCCCCUAGUAAGAAUAUCUUUCUACUUGUUUUACUUCUCAUUUUGGGGACGACAAUAAAAGAUUUGACUGAAUGCCACUCACCAUCGUGAGGAUUUCAUUAUAUAGAAAAUUAUGAUAGCCUUACAUAAAAGUAUAUAUUCACAACCAUAUAUGGUAAAGCUAAUAAAGGAAAGCUAAUCUCUAUCAAUAAAUACAAUUGAUGUAAAAGAGAUAGGUCACCAACUUUCUUCACCUUUCGACGCUGAUCUAGCUUCAGCCCUCAUAUAUGUUCUUACGAGUUUACACAGUAGUACUCCCAAAAAUAGAUCUAGUGGAGACGAGGUAAGGACUAAGAUUUUAAUCAAAUAUGCCAAUUAUAGAAGUCAAAUAGAAUAUGCUAAUUAUGGAUUUUGCAAUCUAUCAAUUAUCAAUCUUGUAAUUUGUUAAUUAUUCUGCAAUCUGUCAAUUAUAAUCCGUCAAUUAUUGAUUCUACAUAUCUCAUUGAUAUCUCCCUUAAAUCGAUGUGACUUGAUCAAGAAGCAUUAAUUUGCUAUCAAGAAAUUGAGGUCGUGGUUGAGGUAAAGCUUUAGUGAAGACAUUGACAAUUUGAAGAUUCAUAGAGAUACAAGGAAGGUUAAGUAUUUUCUCGUCAUAAGCUUCAUGAAUAUAGUGACAAUCAACCUCUAUGUGUUUGGUGCAUUGAUGGGAAAUCAGAUUGGCAGCAAUUUGAAUAGCACUCUUGUUGUCUACAUAAAGAAGAGUAGGCUCCUUUCGAGAGAAACAAAGCUUUCUUAACAAACCAUAAAACCAAACAAUCUUGAAACAAACAGAGGAUAUGUCAAGAUACUUGGACUCAAUGGAAGACUUGGAAACUUGAGACUGUUUCUUAAUUUUCAAGAAAUAAGUGUAUUGACAAGAAACAUGCACCAACUAGUGACUAAACGUUGAUUAUUCGCACAAUCCGCCCAAUCAGCAUGAUAAUGAACCACCAAUUGAAUUGAUGAUGCAGGGAAAAAGUAAAGACCGUGAUUAGAAGUACCUUGUAGGUACCGAAAAGAAGAGUAGGCUCCUUUUGAGAGAAACAAAGCUUUCUUAACAAACCAUAAAACCAAACAAUCUUAAAACAAACAGAGGAUAUGGCAAGAUACUUGGACUCAAUGGAAGACUUGGAAACUUGAGACCGUUUCUUAAUUUUCAAGAAAUAAGUGUAUUGACAAGAAACAUGCACCAACUAGUGACUAAACGUUGAUUAUUCGCACAAUCCGCCCAAUCAACAUGAUAAUAAACCACCAAUUGAAUUGAUGAUGCAGGGAAAAAGUAAAGACCGUGAUUAGAAGUACCUUGUAGGUACCGAACAAUAAAACAAAGUGUAGUUAAGUGUGGACGACGAGGGGUUUCAGCAUAAACUGACUAACCUGUUGAACGACAAAGAUAUGUCGGCCUAUUUAUGGCAAAUAGUUCCGACUGUCGAUCAAUUGUCGAUAGAGAGACCUCAUCCUUACGAUGCUUCACAUUUAUCUCUAUGGGAAUUGCACAGGAUUCCCAUCCUGAAGACUUGCUAAUGUAAUCAAUUCCUGACUAUACUCAUGUUAAUGUAAGAAAUUACUUGCAAGAGUAGAUUUUACUUCAAGACCCAAGAAAUAUUGUAGUGAACCUAGAUCCUUUUUAUGAAAGGAGGCAUUGAUGUUGAAGCCGCGAAAUCAAUACAGUAUCGAUCCCUAUAAUAAUAUAUCUAUAUGAACCAAAAGCACCAUAAUUCCACCAAGUAUUACACAGAAACAAGAAUUAUACUGGCUCUGGACAAAGGAAAUAUCAAGGAAAGUAGAUUGGUACUUAUCAAACCAAGCUUGAGGAGCCCAUUUUGAACUAUAGAGACCUUUUUAACCAACACACAUCUGUUUGAGUAAUAAGCAAGCCUUGUGGUAAGAGUCAUAUAGAUCUCUUCGUUGAGAUCACCAUGCAAAAAGGCAUUUUGACAUCUAUCUACAGCAUAGGCCAACCUAGUAAGACACGUAUGGCUAAAAUAGUUCAUAUUGUAGUAAUUUUGGCUAAAUAAGCAGAAUCUCCUCUUAAUCUACCCUAUACUCUUGCCGAUUACCAAACGCCUCCAACUGUGCUUUAUACUUGUCUAAAGAACCAUCAGACUUUAGCUUGAUGGUGUAGACACAUUUACACCCAAUAGGCUUAACACUAAAUGAACAAAAACAAUAUCCUACAUAUGGUUCUUCUGUUAAGCUUGUAGCUCUUCAUCAAUAGCCUUUACCCAACUGGCUUGCAUAACUACAUAAGAGUAAGAAGUAGGCAUACUGAGGCUAAAGUUGCAUUAAGUGACGUGUGGGAAAAGCCAUACUUUUCAGGUGGAUGAAAAGGUAGGGAGGACUAUCAAGGAGUAGAAGCUUCAAGAACAGAUGCUAGACUAGGGUUGGAAAGGGGCUAUGAUAGAAGUGGAGGUUGUCGUUUUUGUUAAACAACACUUUGUUUAAAGUACUCAAUAAGGUGAGAUACAUCAUCAAAGUUAGGAAGCAUGGCCAGAUUAGAACUAGGAACAUGACUUUCAAGGAAAUAUUGAUUCUCAAAGAAGAUCACAUUUCUAGAAAUACGAAUGCCAUUAGUAGCAGCAUCAAAUGCAAUACCUUUUUUUAGACAUAUUGUAGCCUAUGAAAGUAUAUUGAACAGAUUGAAUAGCAAGUUUAUGACGUUGAUGAAGAGAUAGAUGAACAAAGCAAGCACGUCCAAAUGUAUGCAAGGUUUGAUAACUAGGAUGCAAACUAAACAAACGAUAAUAUGGUGGCUCAUAGUUUAAAAUUUGUUAUGGAAGACGAUUAAUCAAAUGGAUAACAAUGGACAAAGCUUCGACCUAAAACUUGGAAGGAAUAGAGGACUCUAAAAGCAAAGUUUGAACAUCUAAAGGAUGGUGAUUCUUACGUUUAGUCAUGCCGUCCUAUUGAGGUGUAUAAGGGCAAGAACGUUGAGAAAUGCUGCUUUUCUGCUACAAAAAAGGCUUGAAAAACAUGAGACAUAUAUUCACCACCAUCAUCAUACCUCCAAAUCUUAGUACAUGUGGAAAACUGGGUCUUAGGGUAGGUAACAAAGGUCAAAAAAGUAUUAAGUACCUCUCCCUUAGAAUGAAGGACAAGUAAAAUGGCUACAAUCAUCAAUAAAUGUCACAAAAUAUUUGCAAAGAGCACGUACAGAAAAUGGUGUAAUGCCCCAAACAUCACUAUGGAUAACAUUAAAAAAUUUUGUAGCAUGAGACACCAUGCAUAAGGGUGAAUUUUACCAAGUGUGCAAGGAGUACAAUUAAUAGACAAGUCAUGAGUGGGAAUUGGAUCUUUAUUACUCAGAAAGCCAUGCUCAAACAAAUAUUGUAAAAUCAAAGAAUUGGGAUGGCCUAAUUCGCUUGUGCCGAACCUCCCUUUGAUUGCUUACAGUAUUAGAAGACAAAGAUAUAACCCUAGGAAUAUAAAAUUGCAAAGGAAACUGCCUUCCCACUUUAGGCCCCUUCCGAUCACCUUUCCUGACUUCUAAUCGCACAAAACCACCACCACGAGAGAAGGAAACGUUACAAUAAUUAUUCACUAGCUGUCCAACUGAAAUCAAAUUAGCAUAUUAGUUAGGAGAAACAAAAUCAGUUUGGAAGGAAGGGUUAAUAUUACCAACAACAUUAAUGGGUCGGGGAUUCCCGUUUGAAAUUUGAAUUUAUUGAGGACAAUUAUAACUCCGAACGUUAAGAAAUGAUCCAGAUUGACCAGUCGUGAUUGGAAGCUCUUGAAUCAACAAACCAAGUAGAUGUGAAUGAGACCGUCUUACCAUUACCUUGAAGGCAAAAUGCCAAAAAAGCUAAGAUAAUCAUCUGUUGGACCAUCUCAGGAGAGGGGACAACUUAACUAGCAAAGCUACAAUAGAUGUAGAUUGUGCCAUGGGUUUAGCUUGGACAGUAGCUUGAAAAGGCAUGUGCUUACUGAUUUUAAAGACGAAUGAGGCAUGCUUUGAUGAUAUGCCUCGAUUUCUUGCAAUAAUUACAAUAUGGCCUUGAGUAGUUGGUGGCAAUAUGGAUUUGACCUUUUCCUCUUCCUCCUUGGGCUACAUAGGCGACAUUCACUAUCUUAAAAUAUGGCCUCUCUUGUCCCAUUCUUGCAUGAGUAGUCAAUCUCUGUUCUUCCUGCGACAACUCUGCAAGGCAAACAUCAAUUUCAAUUUAAUAACCUAGCUCGUGUAGCCUCAUAUUUUGCCUUCAAUUUCAUCAUAAAUUAAUCACAUCUACCUCCUCAUAGAUUGUCUGAAGUGCAGACAGCGCCACUUUAGGUACCUUGGCAUGUAAAUUUUCAAAAAUCUGCUCUGCAAGUUCAAGAAACUGGCAUAAUAUUGUUCUAUAAAAAGAUGACCUUGAUUUAUAUUUACUAUCUCCAAUUUCAACUGAAACUACAUGCAUUGUUAUCUUGAUUAUGUAUUCGGCCUAGAUAUUUCCACAUCUCUUUAGUAGUAGAAGACCAAGUCGUUCACCAAAUGUGGUUCUAUGGAGCCUAACAGCCGAAAGACAAUGCGUACAUCGUUUGCUUCCCAUGUAUUAAGUUUCUUGGUGUCAUUGGGGUUGAAGAUGUCCCAUCAAUAUGCCCCGAACUCCUUUCCUUUCACAAACAUCUUAAACUGAAACCCUUAACUAUGAUAGUUCUUACAUUGAAAAGAAUAAUAGUAUUUUCACUGGACAUCGUGAAAACAAAAAUAACUAAAAAAAUGACCGUAAAAGAGCUUAGGAACUAAUUAACAACGAAGAGUAAUCGCGGUAAUAAGAGGGUAUUUGGUCAUUUAUGCAAUUACUAAAGUGAAGGGACCUAUUGGAAUAUAUGGCCAAUUGGCAUCCUUAUUGAUUUAUUAAGGAGUUUUCAUUUGUAUCUACUCAUUUAUAUAACAACCUAUAGAAAUCCUUAGUAUGCUUGAGUCUUUAGCUUGAGUUAAAGCUAUAGUUGCUUUAUAGAACAAACUUGGAGAGAGGAAAGUCUUACUUUUGUAGUCCACUAUUUAUCUUUUGGAAAUAGAGUAGGGGGUUAUAUAGCUGAUCUCUUGAAUUAAUUCUCCUUGAGGGAGAUAGGGGGUCCUUUUCAAUGUUAAUGACAUAUACUCUACUUAAGUUAAUGAUAAAGAAAUUAUCUUUUGAAUCUUUGAUGACUAUAUUAUGAUUUCCUUUCCAAUAGAUAAUGAAUAACCAGGUGUUCUUUUCUUGUCAAAUUGCUAGCUUUGAAACCUAUCUUCUUGUUUCUGUCCAUUUCCAUAGAAAUUAUGAUGGUACUCGGUUCCUUCCUCACAUAUCUUAGAAUCCUUUUUGCAAUUUUGCAAAAAAAAUAAAAAAUAAAAAUUGAUUGACGCGCGAAUGCGGAAAACUGAUUCUUGAUCAAUAAAUUUAUUGGUUCUUAAAAAAACUAUUAUCAGACGAAAAGAAUUGGAAAAAAUUCUAGUUCUGUUAUUUCUUAUUCGAUGAUCAAUGGAUUACAAUGACUAACGACUUUAGCUUUUGAACAUAUUAUUAGGAAGUUCAAAAUUCAAGAAGUUUGAAGGACAAGGACAACAAGAUAAAAGACAAUAGAAUUCUUUAAAUAAAUUAAAAGGGAACAUAGAGACAUAAAUCAACUUAAAGAAUGUUGGAACGUGUAAAUUAGUCAUUAUUGUACCGAGAUCUUGUGACUUGUCAUUGGUUCAAAAUAUGAUUUCGUUUCUUAAAGAAAAUGAACAAUCAAAUGUGUUUUUUUAUUUUUAUUUAUUUAUUUUUUCCCUCUCUAGAACUGGUUUGAUACCAAUUAUUGAAAUCAAUCAACUUAUUGUCUUUGUUCUUUACGGAUAGAGUUUCAUAGGUCUUAGUUCCUUUCAAUAUCUUAAUUUUUACGCUGUUGUAAAAUGAAAUUUGUUAGACGCACACUAAGCCUUGGGAUUAUGUUUACAACACGAGUUAAAUGAGUCACUUCACAAGUUUUAUAUAGUCUUAUUAAUAUUCCUUUUACAAUUAUUUGUUCCGAGUCUUUCAUUCAGAUCCUAUACACGUGGGUUUCCAUACAGACAUAUGGAACUUUUUAUAAAUUUGUGAAAUCCUUUUCUUGAGAAUAUGGAGCUGUGGUUCUUGCUUCACUUGAAUGCAUAGACAAUAUCUCAAUACCCCAAUUGUGUCAUCUUAAACUGGUGCUUCCAUCACGACUUCUACAAUAUCUCAUAUAGUUUCCUGAUUGGUUCUGAUAUAAUUAAGAUCAUCAAUUUAGGUACACACAAAUCAUGAGCAUUUUGGGUUUUAACACGGGAUUGAUUAGUAUGAUUUCUUCGAAAACCAAAAUUCUCAACAUUUUUUUGUUUAUUUUAAUCUUGCAAUGCUUGCUUCAAGCCAUACAAAACCAUUUCAUUCCUUAGGGGUUGAGAAUAUCGUUUCACUACUAGUGUGGCCUUCUCCUUUUGUAUGAGCCAUCUUCGUCAAGUUUGAUUUUAAAAAACCUAUAUUUAGCUUCUUUUUUUUUAUCCUUUGGAUUGUUCAUAAGUUGCCGUGUCUAAUUUAUGUAUCAUUUUAGUCUACUCAUUCAUGGCCUUUUGCAAAUAUCAUUUUAGGUUUUCUUAAAGCAUUUAUCCAUAAUCUAGGUAUAGGUAGCAAUCCAUUCUGUAAUUCUUCUCAUUACCUCUCGUGGGGAAAUGAUCACACAAAGAAAAGAAUUGUACAGCAUAAGAUAUAAAAGCAAAAUUGUAUUUAUAAACUUUUUACGAAGUUUUGAAGCAUGUCUAUUAAGUGUUUAUAAACAGUUUAAUUUAUAACUAGAUAGAAAUGAGUGGUAGAUAAGUGUAUAAUACUUGUUGUGGAAAAUCGAGUAAUUGCAGGAGAUUGGGAAUUAUUUUAGAAUAAUUGCUGUACCAUAUUUAAGUAUUUCCAUAAUUAGGUAGAAUUAUUAGUUUUCCUUGUUUAAGAGAUUAUUUCCCUUAUGUCCUUUCACUCGUUUGUAUAUAAAUACAAGAAUUUAAUGAUGAAUAAAAUAAAAUUCACACAAAAAAUUGUGUGAUUCAUCAUAUUCUUCAUGGUAUCAGAGCUCCGGGUUAAUUAUCCUAGCAACCCAUGACAAAAAAUAAUAAGGAUUCCUCCACCAUAGAAGUUUUCAGAGUGAAACGGAGGUCAUAUCUCGUAUGGGUUCCAACGACACUGAAAAUUCUUCCUUUCAACUCACUGUUGAAAAACUGAAUGGAAGAAAUUUUCGAGAGGGGCCCAGUCUAUAAAAUUAAUAGUCGAAGGCAAGGGAAAAAUCAGUUACCUCACUGGUAAGAGCAAGAAAUCAAUAGAUGCAGCGCUUCUUCAAAAAUGGAAAUCGGAGAAUUCGCUGAUAACUACCUGGCUCGUUAAUUCCAUGAUACUGUCCAUAUGUAAAACUUACCUAUUCCUACCAACAGCUAAAGAAGCUUGGGAGGCAGUAAAGGAGACAUUUUGAUGGAGAAAACUCCGCACAAAUUUUUGAAAUAAAGACUCGAUUGUGGCAAACCAAGCAAGGUGAGAGAGAGGUCAUGGAUUAUUUCCUUGAAAUGACUAACCUAUGGCAAACUAAGCAUUGGUGACAGUGUUCGCUACAGGAAACAGGUCGAGAACAAAAAGGUUUUCGAAUUUCUCGCAGGCCUCAAUCGCGAGUUGGAUGAUGUCAGGAGUAGAAUAUUGAGCUGGCGACCAUUACCUACCACAUGAGAAGUGUUUGCCAAGGUUAGCAGGGAAGAAAAUCGUUGAAAAGUGAUGUUAAAGGCUUGCGACGAAGACACUAUAGUGGAAACAGCUAUGAUUUCGAAGAAUGGACUAAGGAGGCUGAGAUGGUAUGAAAAUUUCAAUGGACAGAAGGGUAGAAAUGGGCCAGACGGGUCGGUUCAAAACAAAAAAGGUGGAUGGUUGAGAAGUUGCAUAAUGGGCCAGGUCCGUCUUCAAUAAAGGGACGUCCAUGGUACGAACACUGUCGUAAACCAGGACUCAAGGAAGAUACAUAUUGGGAUCUACACAGGAAGCCCAACGAUUGGAAACUAAGACAAAUUCUAAAAAUCGAGGAUAUCAAGCAUCAAUUGAUCCUUUUGAAAGUCCCAACGAAAAUAAUUCUACUACAGGAGGUGCAUUUAAUUCAGAACAACUGGAACAGUUGUAUCAAAUUUUCUCCGGUCUCCAAAAUUCAAGUUGUCAUUCCACCCACAACUCGUCAAGUUCACUUGCUCAUAAAGGUAACUAUCGAAGAGCUUUGACUACCUCUUCAAAGUACAAAGGUCCAUGGAUUAUUGAUUCAGGUGCGUCCGAUCACAUGAUGGACUCCUACCACCUCUUCUCUACAUAUACACCAUGUGUUGGUAAUAUUAAAGUCAAAAUUGCGGAUGUGUCACUUUCAACUAUUGCAGGAAAAGGGAGUAUCCAAAUAUCUGAAUCUGUUACACUAAACUUAGUACUACAUGUUCCCAAUUUAUCUUGUAACCUAUUAUCUGUUAGUCAGUUGACGAAAACAUCUAAUUGUUUUGCUGAAUUUUUCCAUCCUAUUGUGGCUUUCAGGAACUAUCAUCGAGGAAAACGAUUGGUAGUGCUAGAGAGUAUGUGGAUCUCUAUUACUUCGAGGAAGCAGAUGUGAGUAAGCCAAGUCAAAUUGCAAUUUGUGAUUCUGCAUAUACCUCUAGGGAUAGUGAAGUUUUAUUAUGGCAUUAUGGAAUGGGUCAUCCUAAUAUGCAUUACCUAAAACGUGUACUUCCAAAUUCCAUAUUUUCGAAUAAAACUAACUUUGAACUUCAAUGUGAAAUCUGUGAACUAGCAAAGCAUCAACGUAGUGUAUUUCCAAAUUCCAUAUACAAGCCAUCUCUACCAUUCACUACAAUCUUAAGCGAUUUAUGGGGACCUUCACGAAUACCCAAUCGCACGUGUCGACACUGAACAACGAAAUAUGGGAUAGUCCAUCAAAGCUCACGUGUCGACACUGGCCAAAGAAACAGGGUAGCUGAACGGAAAAAUAGACACCUCUUUGAAGUUACUUGUGCCUUAGUGUUCACUACAAAUGUCAAAAUUCAAUUGGGGAGACGCUAUUCUAAGAUCUACUUACCUUAUCAAUUGAAUGCCUAGUCGCACACUUUACUUUAAAUCACCCCUCCAAAUAUUUCAGAAACUUUUCCCUACCUCAUGUCUACACUCUAACCCGCCUCUAAGGGUCUUCGGUUGCACAGCAUUUGUCCGUGUGCAUGGUCACAAUCGAAAUAAACUAGAACCUCGUGCGAGCAAAUGUGUAUUCAUUGGGUAUUCUUCUACUCAUAAAGGCUACAAAUGUUAUAAUGCAACCACAAAAGGUUAUUUGUAAAUUGUGAUGUCACAUUCUUUGAAAAAACACAUCGGUUCAUAGAUUUUGAUCUCUCCCCUACCUCAACAAAACAAGAAACCACCACUCCAUCAAACUCCGAUAUGCCAUCUAUAGAGUAAAACUUGAACUCAGGGAGAGAUGCAGGAGAACAAAGAAACAAGAAGAUAUUGGUUUACUUAAGGAAGCCUAAAUCAAAGGAGAACUUAUACCGGACGCAUCAAGAGUUGAAAUCGAUGAUAGCUCUAGAAUCCCAUGAGUGAAUAACCUGAUAUCAACCUAUCCACUGCACUCAGAAAAAAUUUCGAUAAUGUACUCUUCAUCCCAUCUCAAAAUUCAUAUCCUAUAAUGCUUUAUCUACAAAAUUUCGUGCGUUUACAGCUAACCUUGACAGUACAGCAAUUCCUAGAAACAUUCAGGAAGCUUUAAAAAUUCCUAAUUGGAGAAAAGUAGUGAUGGAAGAAAUGCAAGCUUUGCAAAAAAAUGAAACUUGGGAAGUGGAUCUAACGAGAGGAAAAAGACCCGUAUGAUGCAAAUUGGUGUUCACUGUGAAAUAUAAAGUAGAUGGGUCAAUAGAAAGAUGUCAAACUUGCCUUGUGGCAAAGGGAUACAUACAAACAUAGGGCAUAGAUUAUACAGAAACAUUUGCACUGGUAGCUAAGCUAAAUACAAUAUAGGUUCUUCUAUCUUUAGCAGCCAACUUAGACUGGCCGUUUCAGCAACUUGACAUAAAAAAUGCAUUUCUAAAUAGAGAAUUAGAAGAAAUUUUCAUGACACUACCACCAGGCUUCUCUUACAAGAAGAAAAUUGAGUCUGUAAGCUCAAAAAGUCUCUAUAUGGCCUUAACUAGUCACCAAGGGCGUGGUUCGAUCGAUUUGCUAAGGUACUAAAAGGGUAGGGAUAUCAACAAGGACAGUUUGAUCACAUUAUAUUCUUUCAAAAGUCGAAAAGCAGAAGGAAAACAAUCUUAAUUGUAUACGUCGACGAUAUAAUCUUUGACCAGAGAUAACAUAGUUGAAAUGGAAAGACUAAAAAACAACUCACAGUUAAAUUUGAGGUAAAAGACCUAGGACAGAUGCGAUAUUUUCUGGAAAUGGAAGUUGUGAGAUCAAAAAGGGGUAUCAAUGUUUCACAACGGAAAUACAUUCAUGAUCUCCUAUCACAAACUGGUAUGCUUGGAUGUAAACCAAGCAACACACCAAUUGAUGCAGGAAGAGAUGGAAAACAUUGAAGAAUCAGUUGAGAAAGAAAGAUAUCUAUUUGUCUCAUACUAGGCCACAUAUUGCAUUUGCAGUAAGUGUGGUAAAUCAACAUAUACACUCACCAAAGGGAACACAUAUGGAAGCAGUGUAUAAAAUACUUAGGUAUCUAAAAGGUUCUUCAAGAAAAGGACUAUUUUCAAGAAAAAUGAGAGUAAAGGAGGAGGCAUUUACUGAUGCUGAUUGGGCUGGUCUUGCAGAAGAUAGGAGAUCAACAACUGGUUAUUGUAGCUAUGUAUGGGGUCACUUUGUGACUUGGAGAAGCAAGAAACAAAAUUUUGUAGCAAGGAGCAGUGCAGAAGCUGAAUUUAGAGCAGUGGCCUAAGGAAUCUAUGAAGGACUGUUGUUAAAGAAACUUUUGGAAGAAUUACAAGUUUGUGUAAAACUUCCAAUCAAACUUUACUACGACAACAAGGCAGCAAUCAAUAUCUCACUGAAUCCAGUAAAUACAAUCGAACCAAGCAUGUAAAAGUGGACAGGCACUUUAUUAAAGAAAAAGUCGAAAAUGGAGUGAUUUGCAUGACUUAUGUCCCUACAAAGGAGCAAAUAGCAGAUAUUUUCACCAAAGGACUACCUCGACAGAUUUUUGACGAAUUCGUUCGCAAGUUGGAUAUGAUCAAUAUCUACUAUCCAACUUGAGGGGAGUGGAAAAUCAAGUAAUUGUAGGGGAUUAGGAAGUAUUUUAGAAUAAUUGUUGUACCAUAUUUAAUUAUUUCCAUAAUUAGAUAGAAUUAUUAGUUUUCUUUGUUUAAGAGAUUAUUUUCCUUAUUUCCUUCCACUCGUUUGAAUAUAAAUACAUGAUUCAAUAAUGAAUAAAAUAAAAUUCACACAGAAAUUCGUGUGAUUCAUCAUAUUCUUCACUUGCGUAUCCCUCGAAAUGUAUGGAUAAAAAGUGAUUGAAUGUUUAUUUUACGUAGAUAAAAAGCAACUGGAAUGUAACAGUUUAUAAACAUGAGCCAAACAUAGGCUUAGUCCUUCAGGAGUAGAAUUUGCUAUUGACGAAAUGGAAGNAUACACUCACCAAAGGGAACACAUAUGGAAGCAGUGUAUAAAAUACUUAGGUAUCUAAAAGGUUCUUCAAGAAAAGGACUAUUUUCAAGAAAAAUGAGAGUAAAGGAGGAGGCAUUUACUGAUGCUAAUUGGGCUGGUCUUGCAGAAGAUAGGAGAUCAACAACUGGUUAUUGUAGCUAUGUAUGGGGUCACUUAGUGACUUGGAGAAGCAAGAAACAAAAUUUUGUAGCAAGGAGCAGUGCAGAAGCUGAAUUUAGAGCAGUUAGGGAUGGCAAUCGGGCUCGCCGGCUCGGGCCGCCCGUGGCUCGGCUCGGGAAAAGCCCGAGCCGGCUCGGCUCGGGGCUCGGUAGACCCGAGCCUAAGCUCGGGCCGAGCCCCAUUUUGGGGACACGGGCUUUGCCCGAGCCGGCCCGUGAGCUCGCGAGCUUUUUAAUUAAAAAAAAAAAAAAAAAAAAAAUUUAAGGCAAAACAGGUAGCAGUUCGCUGCCUUAAUAUAAGGCAGCAGCCUUAAAAGGCAGCAAGCUGCUGCCUUAUAUUAAGGCAGCCAGCUGCUGCCUUAUAUUAAGGCAGCAGCUUGCUGCCUUUAAAAGGCAGCAGUCGUUGCCUUCAAGGCAGCAGGAGGGAAGAACCAUAAAAAAAAAAAUUAAAUUGGGGAGAAAAUGAGCCUGCCCGGCUCGGCCCGUAAAAAGCCCGAGCAAAAGCUCGGGCCGAGCCCUUUUUUUUUGGCCGAGCUUUUGCUCGGCCCGGCUCGAGCCCGCAAAAAGCUCGGUCAUUUUAACCGGGCCGAGCCCGAGCCGAAAUUUUAGGCUCGCGAGCCGGGCCGAGCCGGCUCGUUUACAUCCCUAAGAGCAAUGGCCUAAGGAAUCUAUGAAGGACUGUUGUUAAAGAAACUUUUGGAAGAAUUACAAGUUUGUGUAAAACUUCCAAUCAAACUUUACUACGACAACAAGGCAGCAAUCAAUAUCUCACUGAAUCCAGUAAAUACAAUCGAACCAAGCAUGUAAAAGUGGACAGGCACUUUAUUAAAGAAAAAGUCGAAAAUGGAGUGAUUUGCAUGACUUAUGUCCCUACAAAGGAGCAAAUAGCAGAUAUUUUCACCAAAGGACUACCUCGACAGAUUUUUGACGAAUUCGUUCGCAAGUUGGAUAUGAUCAAUAUCUACUAUCCAACUUGAGGGGAGUGGAAAAUCAAGUAAUUGUAGGGGAUUAGGAAGUAUUUUAGAAUAAUUGUUGUACCAUAUUUAAUUAUUUCCAUAAUUAGAUAGAAUUAUUAGUUUUCUUUGUUUAAGAGAUUAUUUUCCUUAUUUCCUUCCACUCGUUUGAAUAUAAAUACAUGAUUCAAUAAUGAAUAAAAUAAAAUUCACACAGAAAUUCGUGUGAUUCAUCAUAUUCUUCACUUGCGUAUCCCUCGAAAUGUAUGGAUAAAAAGUGAUUGAAUGUUUAUUUUACGUAGAUAAAAAGCAACUGGAAUGUAACAGUUUAUAAACAUGAGCCAAACAUAGGCUUAGUCCUUCAGGAGUAGAAUUUGCUAUUGACGAAAUGGAAGAUCUGUGGUUUAAAUAUACAAAAUUUGAACUUGCAUGUUUUACUAGGGUUACAUAUCACUAUUUUAUAUCUGCAAGUUUUUCAAAUAUGAGAUAGACACGUGUUCUAUCUUUGCUACAUGUUUAGGCAUUCGUUUCAUGAAAGAUUUCAUUUUAGAUAUCAACUGUAUCGAUAGUAGGCCUUCGAUUCACAACUAUAAUAGAAAAAGGCACUUUGUUCUUUCACCUCAAGUUUUUCUAGUUUAUGCAAAUAACAUAAUGGAUAUUGAAAAAUUUUCGAAGUCAUUUUAAACCCUUUUUGUAGGAGAUCAAUUAAAGUGUUAAGCAGUUUUAUUAACAAUCUCUACCAUUUUUUUUAGAAAGUACUGCGUUGAUGCUUCUAUAUUUUAUUUCAACGACCUUUUCUAUUUAAGGCUUCUUCAAGCUAAUGAUUAUCUUUCAAUUUAUUUUCUUUGCAUUAAAUCUAGAAUUGCUCUUAGAAAAAUUCAACACCAUAAUCUAUUGUUAAAAAAUUUAAUUGAUGAUUGUUUUUUAUUUAGCAUAGGCCGUUGAGCCAAAAAAUUACAGGAAAGCUUUUAACUGUCGUUGAAGAAAACACCAUAAUUCUUCUAUAGUAAUCAACAAUAGAAGAACAUGCUGGUAUGUUUAUUUUGUUGUGGCGUUCUAAGUACAAAGAUAUGCAUGGAUAAUUUACGAUGAAGCUUUCAUUUUCUUGGCUGAAUUUGGGAAAGGAAAUCAUGCAACUUGCCAUAAACAAAUUCUUGACAAAAAAUUCCUCUAAACAUCGAUAGCUUACAUGUCCAUAUUUGUGAUAUCGUAGUAUUGAUUGGUUUUAAAGUUUCAAUUCUUAAAGAAUAAUCUUCUUUGAACAACAACUUUGGAAACGUCUUGUUGGGAGCCAUUAUAAUUGUUGCAAUGAACUUAUUGGUGAUGCUAACAUUGAAAAAAUGGUUAGUUUAACAUGUUUUAUUCCGAAGUUAAUUUAUCUUAUUUUAUUUACCAAGGAAAAGUAAUUAUAAGUUUCCAUUUACAAUUUUAGGUUUUUUUAGCAUAAAUUAGGGCUCAGGUUUCAUGAUAGCCUUGGUUGUUUUUGAAUUAUUGAAAAUUUUCUAUUUUAAUCAGUAUAUGAAAAUUCAAAUCAACAAAUUCAAAUGCUCAAUAUUCAUAUGCAAAUCUAUGAAUCUUUGAUGUCUAUUUUUUUUUUUUUUUUUUUUUUUGCAUUAUUUGAAAUCAAUAGAAACUAGAAGGUCAAAUGUGUUGUACAAGGUUUCGAUCUUAUUGGCAAAGCUAUUACUUCCACCCAUUUAGACAUGCUAUCCACUAUCAAGAUAUAUUGAUUCCCAAACAAUGGUGAAAAUGGUUCCAUGAACUUGAUACCCAAACAUCGAAUAACUAAACCUCAAGAAUGCUAUUUAGAAAUAUUUCAUUCUUCCGUGAGCUAUUUUAUGUCUUUCGGCAUCGUUCACACUUUUGAAAUCAUAUGUAUCCUGAAAUAAUAUAGGAGAAUAGAACUUUCGGUAAGAUUUUCUCGUUGGCCUUGGAUGCUCUAAAAUGCCUUGCAUGAUUCAAUGAAUGAUAGUAAGCUAAAAUCUGAUCCAUUUUUCCCUCCGACACGUAACGCCGAAUAAUCUAAUCUAGAAUUCGCUUGUAAAGAAUAGGAUCUUCCAAGAAGUAAUGCUUGAUGUUGCUAAAUAAGUCUUUUUUCUAAUGACUUGUGUAAUGCGGUUAUUGGCCAAAUAAUUUACAAAACUUGCAUGCAACGAGGUAGUUUUUAGCUGAAGAAGUAUCAUCUAAAUUACGAGGUAGCUUUUAGCUGAAGAAGUAUCAUCUAGGAAAACGUCAUUUACUUCAUCUGGCUCUACCAAUUUAAACUGAGAGAGAUGGCGAUACCAAAUUUUCNAUUUUUUUUAGAAAGUACUGCGUUGAUGCUUCUAUAUUUUUAUUUCAACGACCUUUUCUAUUUAAGGCUUCUUCAAGCUAAUGAUUAUCUUUCAAUUUAUUUUCUUUGCAUUAAAUCUAGAAUUGCUCUUAGAAAAAUUCAACACCAUAAUCUAUUGUUAAAAAAUUUAAUUGAUGAUUGUUUUUUAUUUAGCAUAGGCCGUUGAGCCAAAAAAUUACAGGAAAGCUUUUAACUGUCGUUGAAGAAAACACCAUAAUUCUUCUAUAGUAAUCAACAAUAGAAGAACAUGCUGGUAUGUUUAUUUUGUUGUGGCGUUCUAAGUACAAAGAUAUGCAUGGAUAAUUUACGAUGAAGCUUUCAUUUUCUUGGCUGAAUUUGGGAAAGGAAAUCAUGCAACUUGCCAUAAACAAAUUCUUGACAAAAAAUUCCUCUGAACAUCGAUAGCUUACAUGUCCAUAUUUGUGAUAUCGUAGUAUUGAUUGGUUUUAAAAUUUCAAUUCUUAAAGAAUAAUCUUCUUUGUACAACAACUUUGGAAACGUCUUGUUGGGAGCCAUUAUAAUUGUUGCAAUGAACUUAUUGGUGAUGCUAACAUUGAAAAAAUGGUUAGUUUAACAUGUUUUAUUCCGAAGUUAAUUUAUCUUAUUUUAUUUACCAAGGAAAAGUAAUUAUAAGUUUCCAUUUACAAUUUUAGGUUUUUUCUAGCAUAAAUUAGGGCUCAGGUUUCAUGAUAGCCUUGGUUGUUUUUGAAUUAUUGAAAAUUUUCUAUUUCAAUUAGUAUAUGAAAAUUCAAAUCAACAAAUUCAAAUGCUCAGUAUUCGAAUGUAAAUCUACGAAUCUUUGAUGUCUAUUUUCUUUUUUUUUUCUUUUUUUUCUUUUUUGCAUUAUUUGAAAUCAAUAGAAACUAGAAGGUCAAAUGUGUUGUACAAGGUUUCGAUCUUAUUGGCAAAGCUAUUGCUUCCACCCAUUUAGACAUGCUAUCCACUAUCAAGAUAUAUUGAUUCCCAAACAAUGGUGAAAAUGGUUCCAUGAACUUGAUACCCAAACAUCGAAUAACUAAACCUCAAGAAUGCUAUUUAGAAAUAUUUCAUUCUUCCGUGAGCUAUUUUAUGUCUUUCGGCAUCGUUCACACUUUUGAAAUCAUAUGUAUCCUGAAAUAAUAUAGGAGAAUAGAACUUUCGGUAAGAUUUUCUCGUUGGCCUUGGAUGCUCUAAAAUGCCUUGCAUGAUUCAAUGAAUGAUAGUAAGCUAAAAUCUGAUCCAUUUUUCCCUCCGACACGUAACGCCGAAUAAUCUAAUCUAGAAUUCGCUUGUAAAGAAUAGGAUCUUCCAAGAAGUAAUGCUUGAUGUUGCUAAAUAAGUCUUUUUUCUAAUGACUUGUAUAAUGCGGUUAUUGGCCAAAUAAUUUACAAAACUUGCAUGCAACGAGGUAGUUUUUAGCUGAAGAAGUAUCAUCUAAAUUACGAGGUAGCUUUUAGCUGAAGAAGUAUCAUCUAGGAAAACGUCAUUUACUUCAUCUGGCUCUACCAAUUUAAACUGAGAGAGAUGGCGAUACCAAAUUUUCAUAUCCUUUCUUAUCCCAAAUUUCGAGAUCAAACUCUUGCAAAAAAGGAUUCAUCGAAUAAGCCGCAACUUCACAUGAAACUAGAUAUUUCAAGCUGGAAUGAUCUGUAUAAACAAUCAUCUUGAAUCCAAAUAGAUAUAAAUGUAAUUUGCGAAAGGUGAAGACCAUUCCUAGAAGUUUCUUCUCAGUGGUAGCAUAGUCAAAUGUGUUUGAAUGAGUCCCUUGGGCAUAAUAAAUCACUUAAGAUAUGUCGUUUUUGCAUUGACCUAAUAUUGUCCUACUUGCAUAAUUGUUAGCAUCACACAUGAGCUCAAAGGUAGACUCCAAUUUGGUGCAACUAGAAUUGGUGCUAAUGUUUUCUUCAAAGUGUAGACUUCUCGAAAAAUUGAAAGGGGUAUCUUUGUUAAGUAGAUUGUACAAUGGCUUGGUGAUUUUGGACUUUUCCAAAAUCAGUGAACCUUACAUGUCCUAUGGAACUCUGAAUGCCCUUAAUUGAUGUUGGUGGAGAAAGUUUCUCGAUCACAUGUAUCUUAUCUAUGUCAACCUCUGUACCUUGGACAAAAUGUAAUGUCCUAACAUAAUUCCCUUUUGAACAAUGAAUUAAUAAUUUUCCAGUUCAUUACAAGGUUAGUUUCUCUACAUCCCUGCAAGGAUGAGCUCAAGUGCUUCAAGCACUAUUGAACGAUGACAUAAACAUCAAGAAAUCAUCCAUGAAUACUUAUGUAUAAUUCUACACCAUGAUUGAGAAAAUAGAUAUCAUACAAUGCUAAAAUGUAAUUGCAUGUGCAUAAUCUAAAUGACAUACUUAGGUGUGCAAAUUUCCAUAAUGGUAAAUGAAUUACUCUUGGGCGAUGGGAAUUUGAUUAUAACCGGAAUAACAAUCCAGAAAAUAGUGGUAAGAAUGAUUGGUGAGCGUUUUCAACAUCUAGUCGAUAAAAGGAAGAAGAAAGUGAUCCUUGUUGUAAUGUUAAGUUUGUUAUAAUCAAUGUAAACUCGUAACCUUGUAAAUGUUCGCUUUGGAAUGAGCUCGUUAUUUUCAUUUGGCAUCGCUAUAAUUUCCUUAAAUUGUUAGGCACUACGCGUACCGUAUUGACCUACGCACUAUCUGAGAUCAGAUAUAUAGUAAUGACAGCCAAUAAUUACAAUAUUUCUUCCACCAUCUCUUGCAUCUUUGAAUUCAACAAAUGUUGAUGCUCAAUUGAAACCUUGUAAUCAUCCUCCAUGAAAAUCUUAUGCAUACAUAGUGAAGGAUUGAUAACUAGUAUAGCCCACCAAAUAGCAAUUUUAUGAUACCUAAGCACCUCGGAUCAAUUUAUCUUCAUCUAUAUCACAAAGAGAGUUAGCAAUGAUAACUAGUAGUAUAGAUUCUCCCUAAGUAGGCAUAUCACAGAUGAUUUGACAAUUGCUUCAAGUCAAGGGUAUAGGUUAUAAAAUGGAUAUCCAGGGUUUUGUGGAAACCCUUGAUAAGUUCUAAAAAAUGUGGGUCCCUCUUCAACAGAGUGUGCCUUCAACAAUCGAACACAAUCUUCGAUUCCUUAAAUAAGAUAGUGUGGAUUGAGAAUAAACAAGGUAGACCUUGAACAGUUCUUAAAGCUGAUCAUGAUUGAAUAUGUCUGCUACAACCUUAUCCAUCACAUCAAUUUGAAAACAAUUGUCAGAUUUUGUUGGAUAAUAAAUAUGCUUGAAGACAUUAAUUACCACAUGCUCCUUAUUUAACCUCAAAAAAAGUUUAAUCUUUUGCACAUCAAUGAGAGGUCUACUAGUAUCCAUAAUUAGACAUCUCAAAAUGAAUGGAACAUCUUUAUCUUCUUUCAUGUCUAGGAUGAUAAUAUCAAUUGGAAAAAUAAACUCGUCAACUUUUACAAACUUAUCUUCAAUUAUUCCACGAUGGGUUUGAUUGACCUGUUGGCAAGUUGCAAUGCAACUGUUGUUGCCUUUGCUUUCUUAAACCUAGCUUCCUAGACAUAGAAGAGGCAUUAAGUUAAUGCAAGUACCAAGAUGUACAAAGCUUUAUCAAAGUAGUUAUCUUAAUAGUACAAGGAAUAAUGAAACUCCUUGGAUCUUUUAAGCUGUGGAGGUAGCUUAUUUUGCAAUAUAACACUUCUUUCAUUUGCCAACACCAUCGUCUUAUUAGUUUCCAACUUCCUUUUGUUUGAUAAGAUGCCCUUCAUGAAUUUUACAGAGCUGGACAUUUGUGUUAAGGCGUCGACAAAUGGUAUGUUGAUGUUUAGCUUUUUAAGCACCUCCAAAACCUUAGCAAAUUGCUUGUCGAGCUUGUGUUUCUACAGCCUUUUAAGGGAAUGGUAUCGGAGGCACAUAUGCUCAAUGGGAAAGAUUUCCUUAACUUGUGAGGUGCCUGAAUUCUUUUCUAGAAUUACUUCUUUGUCAAUGGUAGCUAUCUUUUCAUGAGAAGCAACAUGCCUCUUGAUAUGAAUCUCUACAACUUAACUCCACUUCUUGUAGUGGUAGCCUUCACAUGUUCUUUAGGGUUGGUUUUAGUAUUAUUUAGUAAAGUGCCAUGUAUCAUUUUUGAUAGUGCGGUUUCCAUGUGUCCUACUUGAGUCAUGGAUUCUUUAUAGAUGACUGUUGGUGCUGCAAUGUGUUGUUAGCUUUUGUGAUAUACUGAGUGAUUAUUUCUUCCAACGAAGGCUUUUUCUCAUGCUGAUGCUAGAACUUUGGUAGUUUGCAUAGAUUGUGAUUUCCUUGAAGCUAAUGGCAUAGGAUGCUAUGGAACAAUUAUAGGAGAAGGGGAAAGGGGAAAGGAAGGAGGAAAAGAAGUGAGAAGGGGAAAAAGAGAGGAAAGGGAAAGAAUAGAGAGAAAUUGGCGAAGAAUAUCAGUUUAUUUUAUCAUCAAAAUUGUCCGUAUUACAUUGCAUAAGACCCUUUUGAAUAAGGUUUCAAAGAUCCUAUUCUGAGUAGGAAACAUAUAAUAAAAGAUAUUAAAUCAAACCCUUAAUUAUGUUUCCUAAAAUAAAUACCAAAAUUGGGAAGUAAAUAUAUAAUUCUCUUAUAAUUUUCCAUCACCUAAUUGUUGUUCGUCAAGAAGUUGGGAAGUUUGUCCAAAUUGCAUUAUGAAAGUUGUAGGGAUUAUUCUAUGCCAACAAGAAAGUUUUUUCGUAGCUAACUUCCUCAGAAUUUGAUGUGAAAGUAGUGGCCAAAGGAUAAUUAGAUGUGUAAUGAUUUACUCUAUAGCCCUCAUAAAUCAAAAUAAGAUUGUGCACCAUGUACAUUGAGUAAGGCUAUUCAUCUUCUUCGUCAGAGCUUCCAUCUGAGCAAAUAAUACCGAAGUUGCAUCAAGACAUGAAUUAACUGCAAAUUGACUGACUUGAAGCAACUUUGCAUUGAAGUAUUAGACCUGAAGUCCUUUACUGAUGUCAUGAUUCAAGCACUUCAGCAGUAGCUCAUCAAAUCUCUUACACUUCAUGAAAGAUCUUCAAGUCAAGUUGCCUAAAUAUGGAUAUGUCAUGCUUCAGUUUGGCAACUUUAGUGGUGAAAAUUACUUCUUGUUGAACUUUUCAACCAAAUAUUUCUAUCAACUACAAUUACAACCAGUUGAGGGGAUCAAACUUUAUUUUCUAUUAUUCUCUCUUCUUGCUCGUUAUCCCUUGCUCCUCUUUGUUCCUUUCUUCACUGUCUAAAAGUUCUCUCGAUCUCGAGAUCAAAUGGUGGUCAAGAUCUUUAAAAUUUUACACGUGUCGAUAUACAAGCACUUGAAAAUUAACACCAAAAAAAAAAAAAAGAAAAAGAAAACAAGAAUUCGAUUGUAAUCAAGAAUUAAUGAAAUUCAAACUAAAUAUAUAAAAUUCUCGAUAAUAACACCAAAACUUGUUCGAUGGAAAUCUUGCAAGUGUAUAAGUUCAUUGACAAGUAAUUGUUAAAACUGAGUAAAAAGCAUCAUUCCUAUGAGAAUUUUAUCUAACAAUCUCUUUUGAGUAAAAUUAAACUUAUUUUAGAAAUUAUAUUCACUAGCCAGAUUAUUCAUAUGUUGCAUAAAAUAUAGACAAUUAAUUCUAACAUAUAUGGGACCUUAUGUUGAUUGUCAAGUAUGAGUUGUACUUGCAUUGAAUCUCCUGAAAACAAGAUAAGCCUAAAAUACGUUUAAAAGUUGAUCAUUCAUUAAAAUGAAAAUCUAAACUUUGACAUCAAUCAGUCGACACAAGUUGACAAUAAAACGCAGUUUCGAUUAAAACGUCAACUAAUGAUUCAAGUAUUUAGCCUAUCAUGCUAAUAAUAUAAAACAUAUAAUUAAUUGUAUAAAUCACCCAAAAUAUUAAAUUGCAAAGAGAAGGAUGAAAAUGAAUUUUUGUCUCCUUUUAAUUUCAUCAAUGGAUUCUUUAGUAAAUCACUAUCUUCUUGCUUGAAAUCUUCAAUUCUCGAGCCACAAAUUUUGAAAGUAUGAUGUGCUUGUGUAUUAUUUCUAUGUUGCUCUCUUCUCUAAGUUUCGAGACUAACAAUGUAAUCGUAUAGUAGGGCAACUUGCGAGGGCAUGUUUAUGUGUAUGUACUUGUAGGAUCUGCAAGUUCGUGCCUUGCGUUCAUAUGGGUGUUUCCUACACGAUUGCAAGGCACCUACUUUUGCCCAAGUUUAUCUUGGUACCUGGAUUCACUUGUUCUUGCAGCUCAAGUCCCUUCCUUAAUUGUAUUUUUGGCCUUGUAUCUUUCAGUCUCAACAAUUUGAUCCCCAUCUUCUAUAGUUUGUUCGGUUUAGGUCCAUUUUGAUUCGCUUUUUGCUCCUUUUCUCCAUAAAUCAUUCAACAUAUAGAGUUUCUCCUAAAACAAUCAAUGUACAAAGAAAAUUUAGUGUAAAUUCAAUAAAAGCACUCCCAAACAUCUGCUUUUGAUGGCCCAAACAAGUAUAGAAUUACAAUUAUUACCCGUGUAAAUGAAUUGUGCAUGUGUUAGGCUUUUAUGGAAAAUUAGAAAGAAAAAUCUGCUUACACGUGAAUUGGCGUGCCGAAGAAAAUAUUUGAGUAAUAUACAUUUAACCCUAUCUAAUAGGUUGAGUUUUUAAAUCAGGUGGUUCAACGUAAGUGAUUAUAAUAUAUUUUCAUAAAAUAAUAUUCAAAUAACAUUUUGUGCUGCACUUGUUUUUUCUUUUAGAAUUGCCAUGUUGCAUCUUGCGUUUUCUAUUUCCAUGCAACCUACUUGCUACUCUUCAUUAAUAACAAGAGAUGAACGUGGAAUAGAAGCAUUGUCAUAUUUUCCAUUGGUACUUGAAUAGUUACUUUGAUUUAUCUUUACCAUAAUAAAAACAUCUUUUUGAAGCCCACAUGUUGGAAAGGAUAUGAUACCCCAUAUAGGAUUUAUCCCCUGUUUGGCCCCCAUUUUUUGAAAAUGAAAUGCGUGGAAUACUUUUUUUUUUUUUUUUUUUUUUGUUGAAAAAUGAGUGGUUAAAAAAGAAGGAAAAUUUUUCGAUUUACGUAUAAUAUUAUUUUAUGGAAGAUUGUGAGGUUGAAAAUAGGAGAAAAAAAUAGAAUGUAAUGGAAUUGAAAUUAAUGGAGGCCAAACAGGGGCUUAGUAUUACAAGCCAUGUACCUGAUAUGUAGAUUCCUAUGGGCUGUGGCUCUAGUACAAGAAAAUUUUUUGCCUCUUGGUAUAAGCUUCUUUGAAUUAUUCCAGGGUAUGUAAAUAAACUCUAUAAUUAAAUUGUUGAUUAAUCAGGCCUUGAGUUUGCUCCCCAAUGUUACCUGUUCGAGUUCUCUCAGGGCCAUUGAGGUGAAUAUCCAUUGUAAACUUUAGGGUCCAGUGGAAUUAGUCGGGGUGCUCUUAAGCUGGCCUGACACCCAUGAUCAUCAGAAAAAAAUAGAGAUAGCUACCACUUUUAUGGACGUGGUUACUUUUAUCCUUUGUCUUUGGCCAUUUCAGCACUUUUUCUCAUCAAAAUUACUCAUAGGGCAUCUGUAGAAAUAUAGCGCUUGUUUGAGAUUUAUUGCAAAAACCCAUUUCCAUUUCAAAUUUAGGGACCUUAUUCUUUGUAUAUGUUGGGAAAGGAGGAAAUGUAUUUGACUUAUCCAUCAUGAACUUUAAUUUUUCAUUCUUUCAUUCAAAAUUUAAACACCCCCCCAACCCACAAUUAUUCUUUGAAAAAUAAGUGCUAGCAUGAAGUGAGGGUUAAAUGGGAAAAUUGAAUUUCAAUGGGUCAUUGGUUCUUUUCUUCAUUCUGUCCAAUGUCCUUUGUACCAUGAAUUUUUAAAUAUUAAAAUAGUAUCCCAAAAUGUUAUUUCUCAUUAAAAUGUGAUUUUAAUGAGCUUCAAACAGGCACAUAAUGACAUGGAUUGCAAAGCACAGCAUUGUUGAUUGCUGUUAUUACAAUUGGAAAGGACUUCAUCAACUCGCAACUUGCCAGAGUUUUAUCUAUUUUUAGAACAUUGAACAUAAAUAGUGAUCACCAAUUUGAUUUCGAACAAGUUCAUCCCAGAAUAAGGUGUGCAAACAUGAAAAUAUGCUAAAACAAGGAGGAAGAUUACAUGCUAAUUGAAGUCACUUAUUCGUAAUCAUGGUUCUGGAAUUACCAGAAAGAAGCUCUUCAUGGUUACUCACAUUACAUAGCUAUAAAUAAAGAAGGAAAACUAUGAUCAUACUAAUAUAGAGGUGUUUGUUAAUAAUCAUCCCAAGAUGGAGUCAAAUUUAAAUCUUGUAUUCUUGCAGUUCAAUUUGCUUCUCAUAUUUUAACUUUUAGGUUACACAAUUUCCUGAAGCCGCUUUCAUUGAAUCUGAUCAUAGCCCUGCAAGCUCUGAUGAACUUUAGCUUUCUGUGCUCAUCUUCUAGAUAGAUGAACUUUGAACAUUAUACUUGUUAGAUUUCUAUAUGUAAAUAAAUGGUGAAAUUUUUGUGAGAUAUGUUCAUAUCAGGUGCAAAUGUCUGAUGGAGCACCAUGAAAAGGAAGUUGGUUGUUUUUCUGUUUUUUGAAUGAACCUCAUCCUCUUUUCUCUUUUAUAAUAUGUUUUCUUUCUCUACGUAUAUGUUCAUGGAGAGGAGAAAUCUUAGAACUGCAAUUGUGAAGAUCAUCUUGAAUGCCUCCAUUAGUUUUCUCCUUCUUUCACAUCUUCAAACUACUUGUAAAGGGCAAGUAUUGAUAAGAGUUAAUUUUGUCAACUUAGGCUAAAGUACUGGUCCAUAACACAUAUUUUAGGUUCAUAUAUCAUAUAAAUGAUUAUCAACGUCUCGUAAGUCGUUCUUCUGUGUUUUACGGGUUGUAUCUCUUUUGAAAUCUCUACUUGUGAUACCUAAAUUAUCUUGAGUUAAUACAUCCAAAUAAUUUUAGAACUUAAAAGAAAAUAAUGCUAGAACUUCUCCACCUUAUUUAUAUGUCCAGUUAAUCUAGAACUAUGAAUCCACAAGGAGUUGGAGCUUUUCAAUUAAUUAAGGAGAACUUCCAGUGUUAUAAGGAACCAAAGCUCGUGAGGAAUUUUGACAGUUAUAACUAUAAUUUACCUGCUCAAGUGUCAUCAUUUUUUGAAUUUACAAUACUUUUACAUUAUCUUUUUUUCGAUGUUUUUACUUUUCAAUAAGAAAAUAUAAACCUUAAGUAACUGAGGAAUUUGAUUAACCUUGUUCCAUUUAACCUUAUAUGUUAAACAUGUGUUUAUUAAUAUUUCUAACAAUUUUUGAUGUAUGGACAUAUGCUUUUUACUUAUAUGCACUUGAAUUUCCAACAUGACCUAAUAAGUAAUCAGUUUAUUUCUUUUUCUUUUAUUCAUUUUAUUUAAGCUCAUUGCCAUCUGCUUAUAUAUGUUUCAUUCCUCUCUUUCAGCACAGCAAGGAACUUGAGCCAUCAACUGGAUAAUCAUACUAUUGUUCCUGUAAUUCAACUACGACCAUUCUAUAUAUUUGCCAUUCUUGUUUCUAGCUGACCAAGCUCUGACUUGCCUUCAUAUUGCAUCCUUUUUCUGUGUAAGAUCCUAGUCCUAUUAUUAUUCAGUUAUCAGUUUCCUUUUCUUUUUUUUCUUUUUUUUUUCUUUUUUUAAUAUAAUAUAUCCUGAUGUCUUUAAAUUACUAUUAUUACUAAAUCUGAGUAAAUAAUCACAUCUUUAUCUUCUUGGAUCGAUGCUUAUCUUCUUGUGCCAUUCAUUUUUUCUCUGGGUUUAAUUAUGUUGGAAGCAUCUGCCCGGAACAGUGAAUCUGAAUGGUUAUGUUGCAACCAAUGAGUACUAUUCUCUUAAGGGACUUUAAGGUCUUGACACUUCACUAUUAAGCUGUACUUUUAAAUGCAGUAUUCUCACUGCAAAUGUUGGUUAAAUGCGUUAAUUGUUGUUCAUUUAUCUAAGGAGAAAUCAAUUUUAAUGAUCAAGUUGCCAGAGGCAAUAUUUUUUUUUCAUUUUCUUUUCCCCUGCUUUUUGUAUGAGAAGCUGCUGAACUGAUGUUUUCUAUCAUAGUUCAGCAUAUCAACUGUCUCCUCCAAAUUGCUUUGACAUUUAGAUUUUUGCAAAAUUAGUUUGUUCUUACUAGCAUGUAACUCGAUUUUCAAAAUGGAAUACAACAAAUGUAUUACGUUUAUGAAUUUAGUUUUGCUUUGUUCUUACAGUAUUACUGCAGGUUAGGCUAAUGUCUAUUUAUUUGAAAUUCUCAAAGUCUUUAGAUUCUUUCCCUCUCUCCCAAGUUUAACUAACUGAUGGUUUUAUUGAACCCAUUUCCGCCCAAACAAUAAAAAAUUAGACCUACUUGUUUUUGGCCCACAGUUACUUAUAUAGUUGACACAAAAAAAUUUCAAUGUAGUGAAUGUUAUCUGAAAUAGACACUUUUGAUUGAUGGCUUAAAUAAUGUAUAAAAUGUUUCCAAUGUGCCAGAUGAGCCCUAUUCACGAACUUUGCAGCUUGUGUCCUGAAUCUCAUAAAAUUGAAGUUUCCGAGGCCACCUGAUUAUCUUUAUAUUGUCAUAUCAUGUGUUCUUGUCAUGCUUUGAAACUGGUAAUUUCUUUAGAAACUAUAUGAAUUGCUUCACUUUUGAAUCAUAUUUUCUGUUAUGACAUUGCUCUUGACUGGCAUUUAUUUUUAUCUAGUAUCUGGUAGUAGUAUAUUUCUGUGUACGUAGUUCUUCCAAGCAAACUCAUCAAAUCAAACCCGGAGUUUAAAUAGAUAAAUAAGUAUUGGAACAUCCAGUAAGAUAUGAGACAUACAGUGCCAAACAUAUUCUUUUAUUUAUUAUCACAAUGACCUAGAAAGCUGUAUCUAGUUAGAUUUACCUCAUAUAAUGAAUUCGGCAACUGGGCAAUGCCAAAUAUUAAGCAUUUUUUCCUGAAUAGCUGUGGUUCUUAUACCACUUUUAGCAUUUAACGAAAAGCUGUAACAAUGGUGCCUUCACCAUUAACAGAUUACUUCACACCUUUGAAUAGUCUGCCUCUCUUUGUUAUUGCAUUUCUAGCCUGCUGCAUUUUUCCCACCAAAGCAAGUGUAGAAUCAAUAUAGUGUUGAAACUAUGUUUUUUAAAGUACUUU
RNAcentral lists this long non-coding RNA (27491 nucleotides) under Olea europaea subsp. europaea. The record is from RNAcentral. Lineage: Eukaryota; Viridiplantae; Streptophyta; Magnoliopsida; Lamiales; Oleaceae.